ACCUAUACACGUACUACAAGGGACGAUUUCUUCUUCCUCCCCUCCGUGAUCUCUUCAUCUUCUCCAUCACUAUCUCUUUCUCCCCGGUUGGAAGAUACAACCAUCCAGAUCUCUUCCUCUUGAUUAUCUCCCUCCUCCCCAUUGGAAAACAAAUGGAUCUCCUCUCUCAAAAAGAAGGCAUGGAUUUCAUGCUCACGGAUCUUUUUGCAUCAAAAUAGUUUUCCUCAUCUGUACCAGAUCCGUAUUUUCACAUGGAAUUUGUUUUCUUGCAGGUUCGACUGUUGGUUUUUCUUUGGAUUUUGAUUCAUGUUUUUAUCUAUCGUGUCUUCUCAACUUUUUGUGCUCUCCACGGAUUGGAUCUUGAAUCUUCUCAUGUACAGUUUUUUGGUGUCUCAUGGAGAUCUGGUCUACAAUUGGAUCAACCAUGGCUUUUUAAUUGGAGUCCGAUUCAACUUUUUCUCUACCGUGUCCUCUCAUUGUUUUGUGCUCUCCACAGAUUGGAUCCUUUGUCUUCUCACCUAUAAUUCUGGGAUGACUCAUGGAGAUCAGGUAGGAGCACACCAACUUUACCCAUCUGCUCGAUGACUCAUGGAGAUCAGGUAGGAGCACACCAACUAUCCCCAUCUUCUCAAGAUUCUCCCACUUUGUGCAAAGCUUGCCUCUGAUCUGUUGCUGUCAUUGUUCUGUUUGUUAGAUCCUACAUGUUGCUUACAUAGUGCAGAUUCACCGACUAAUCAUAGGGUCUACUCUCUUUUUUCUAAUUAAAGCCUUGGAUUUGCCAGCAGCUUUGCUUGAGACUAAACAAGUACAAAUCCUAAGAAUUUUUAUGAUCUUUUACCUGUUAAUCUUUUCUAUUCCUUUAAUUUUUUAUAUUCGAGUUAUACUUUCUUUCGUUUUUGUAGUAUAAGGUUUAAAAUAAUACAGCUAACCUCAAUGGAGAAGGAUUCCCAUGCAAAGUGAAGGCCAGAGUAGCUACACCAAUGAGUAGUUACGCCAACGAGAAAGAUUCCUAGAAAGGGAAGGCUGGAGUAAUUCGUCUAUGGAACGCCAUUAACGUCGACAGCAAUGAACUUAUUUGACUUGACAUGAUACUAGAUGAAGAGCUGGCCACCAUCGUGAUGGCGGAUUCAUCAUGCUACUGCUUCUUGGUUGGAACGUCGUGGCUGCACGGCCGGUCGACAUGCAACGCCAAUGCAAAGGCGUGUGCACUCACUACUUUAUUCCCAUGCUUCCAGUCGCAGGUGCAUUCAGCUCGCCAAGUUCUGGAUCUAGGGGUACAUGUGAUGGCUUGCUAGAGCAUCACGUACAUAUAAGGUUUCCAUGUUAGAGUAUGUUGUUUCCAGUUAUUUAUCUGGAAGGCGAUCAGUCGAUUGGUGAGGCCAUAAAUGGCUGUCUAUGGUUGUCUCCAGGUAACAAUUUUUUUCCCCGAGCUAGCAUCUUAGUUGGACACAGGUUAUUGUCUGCAACUACUCAUGUUUCAGGCAAUAGACUUUGCCUGCUAACAGAAAAUGUUCUAAUGUUAUGGACAUUGUUCACAUGGCUGGAGUUCUAAAGUUUAUAGCUAAGGACCUUAUCCAUGAAAGGAUUCUAACUAAAUUUUUUUGAGAGUUGAAGACCGAGUUGGAGCAGAACUAUGGCAACCAUGUCGUGCUAAAUACGGCCUAUGAGCUAUGCAUGUCGCCAAUACGUUACCUAAUACAUGGGAGGCUCAUGUUAGACUUGGCAAUGUUCUCUCGAUCUUUUUUCUAUCGGAUUUUUGUACUGCGAAAUUGAAUUGCUUCUAAGUAAGGAUUAGCCUUCACCUCAGUCCAUGCAUUUUAACUUUGUAAAUAUUUUAAGGUUAAACUUAUGAUGAAUGCAUGCCCCAGUUUAGAGUGGUGACGACUAUUGUAAACAUGUUUGGUUCAAGAUUUAUUUUUUGUU
Long non-coding RNA from Triticum aestivum (bread wheat), 1923 nucleotides. RefSeq lists it as uncharacterized. Lineage: Eukaryota; Viridiplantae; Streptophyta; Magnoliopsida; Poales; Poaceae. The record is from RefSeq and is a predicted model, not a curated record. The transcript is spliced from 3 exons.